GAUGAACGCUAGCUACAGGCUUAACACAUGCAAGUCGAGGGGCAGCGGUAUCGAAAGCUUGCUUUCGGUAGCCGGCGACCGGCGCACGGGUGAGUAACGCGUAUCGAACCUGCCUCAUACUCGGGAAUAGCCUUGCGGAAGUAAGAUUAAUGCCCGGUGUUUUCAGAGUCCCGCAUGAGGCUUUGAACAAAGAUUUAUCGGUAUGAGAUGGCGAUGCGUCCCAUUAGCUUGUUGGCGGGGUAACGGCCCACCAAGGCAUCGAUGGGUAGGGGUUCUGAGAGGAAGGUCCCCCACAUUGGAACUGAGACACGGUCCAAACUCCUACGGGAGGCAGCAGUGAGGAAUAUUGGUCAAUGGGCGGAAGCCUGAACCAGCCAAGUAGCGUGCAGGAAGACGGCCCUCCGGGUUGUAAACUGCUUUUAGUUGGGAAUAAAACGGGGCUCGUGAGCCCCCUUGCAUGUACCAUCAGAAAAAGGACCGGCUAAUUCCGUG
RNAcentral lists this ribosomal RNA (492 nucleotides) under uncultured bacterium. RNAcentral's name for it is "partial 16S ribosomal RNA". It matches the Rfam family "Bacterial small subunit ribosomal RNA", at positions 28 to 507 of the family's 1533-position model. The record is from RNAcentral.